UAAAAUUUCACUUGUAUGUGUGCAACAUUAUGUAAAUCACUUUAGUUUAGGGCCAGCUUGAUAAAGCAGGGGUGAUUCAAUUAAUCAGCUUAUCAAAAAAAAAAAAAAAAAUCUGAAAAAAGUUCUCAAAGAAAAAGUCUCCAAAAAGUUGGGGGUCUUUUUUUUUCCUCUUUAAAAAUAAAAUUAAAGCCAUAGAAGGUUAACUAGGUAAAUUGCCAGCAAUCUAAGUUCAAAAUAUACAGGUUAGCAAUGAGCUAGUUAAUGGGGCACGGGUGAAGAGGACGGUUAGAAGUGUUGCAGAUUUAAGGGCUGUGUAGACAUCCAAUCUGCUCAGGUUUGAGUGACCUUCAGAUGUGGUCCUGAAAGAUCUGAUACGUGGGCUUCCGAUUCGUGGGUCUUUUGAUUUCAUAAGGAGCGUCCUGAAGAAAGGCAGAGUUGGGGCACACGGUGAGAGGUGUACAUUGAGCUGAGAGCGUGCCGAGCUGCCACAUGCUCACAUUGUGAUCGAAUGGAAAAGUGGCGUCAGAGGUGCCUGAUCGGACAGCUG
RNAcentral lists this long non-coding RNA (547 nucleotides) under Astyanax mexicanus (Mexican tetra). RNAcentral's name for it is "lncRNA (ENSAMXG00005024064.1)". The record is from RNAcentral. Lineage: Eukaryota; Metazoa; Chordata; Actinopteri; Characiformes; Acestrorhamphidae.